CACUUCUAAGGAAGGCAGCAGGCGCGCAAAUUACCCAAUCCUGACUCAGGGAGGUAGUGACAAGAAAUAACAAUAAACCGGCUUAUGCCGGUUUAAUUGGAAUGAGUACAAUUUAAACAUCUUAACGAGGAACAAUUGGAGGGCAAGUCUGGUGCCAGCAGCCGCGGUAAUUCCAGCUCCAAUAGCGUAUACUAAAGUUGUUGCAGUUAAAAAGCUCGUAGUUGGAUUUCUGUGGGGACGGAGCGGCCGGCCGCAACUCGCGGUUCGAGCUAGCGCUUUCCCUACAUCCUGCCGCGAACCGUGCUACCAUUAAUUUGGUGGCGCCGGGGAUCGGCUCGAUUACUUUGAGAAAAAUAGAGUGUUCAAAGCAGGCCACACGCCUUGAAUAAGUUAGCAUGGAAUAAUAACUAAGGACUUCGGUUCUAUUUUGUUGGUGUUCGGGACUGAAGUAAUGAUUGAUAGGGACAGUUGGGGCGGUCUGUAUUCCAAAGCGAGAGGUGAAAUUCUUAGACCUUCGGAAGACAAACAGCUGCGAAAGCGUUCCGCAAGGAUGUUCCCUUUGAUCAAGAACGAAAGUUGGGGGAUCGAAGACGAUCAGAUACCGUCGUAGUCUCAACUAUAAACUAUACCAGCUAGGGAUCGGCCAACGUUAUUUUAUACCGACUUGGUCGGCACCUUAUGAGAAAUCAAAGCAUCUGGGUUCCGGGGGGAGUAUGGUCGCAAGGCUGGAACUUAAAGGAAUUGACGGAAUGACACCACAAGGCGUGGAGUAUGCGGCCUAAUUUGACUCAACACGGGGGAUUUUACUAGGUCGGGACAAUGUAAGAAUUGACAGAUUGAGAGCUCUUUCUCGAUCCAUUGCGUGGUGGUGCAUGGCCGCUCCUGGUUGGUGGAGUGAUUUGUCUGGUUAAUUCCGUUAACGAACGAGACCCCAGCCUGCUAAAUAGCGCGCGUGAGCUUUGCUCGCGGCGAGCUUCUUAGAGGGACUAUGAUGCGCGAUAGCACAUGGAAGUUUGGGGCAAUAACAGGUCUGUGAUGCCCUUAGAUGUUCUGGGCCGCACACGGGCUACACUGGCGCCUGCAACGAGCAUAUCAGCUGGCCCGAGAGGGUCUUGGCUAAUCUUUUGAACCGGCGCCGUGCUUGGGAUUGACCUUUGCAAUUGUUGGUCAUGCAACGAGGAAUGCCUUGUAAACGCGAGUCAUCAGCUCGCAUUGAAUACGUCCCUGCCCUUUGUACACACCGCCCGUCGCUCCUACCGAUGAAUGUUCCGAUGAAAUUUUCGGAGAGUGCCUGUGAACUUGGCUCUGCCUUGCGAACGGGAAGCUCAAAGUCACUUAAAUCUGAACAUUUCGAGG
This 1356-nucleotide ribosomal RNA is filed under the name uncultured marine eukaryote. Its description in RNAcentral is "SSU rRNA". It matches the Rfam family "Eukaryotic small subunit ribosomal RNA", at positions 411 to 1779 of the family's 1831-position model. The record is from RNAcentral.